RNAcentral lists this ribosomal RNA (472 nucleotides) under uncultured bacterium. Its description in RNAcentral is "bacterial SSU rRNA". It matches the Rfam family "Bacterial small subunit ribosomal RNA", at positions 335 to 798 of the family's 1533-position model. The record is from RNAcentral.
ACUCCUACGGGAGGCAGCAGUGGGGAAUAUUGCACAAUGGGCGCAAGCCUGAUGCAGCCAUGCCGCGUGUAUGAAGAAGGCCUUCGGGUUGUAAAGUACUUUCAGCAGUGAGGAAGGUGGGUAUGUUAAUAGCAUAUUCAUUUGACGUUAGCUGCAGAAGAAGCACCGGCUAACUCCGUGCCAGCAGCCGCGGUAAUACGGAGGGUGCGAGCGUUAAUCGGAAUUACUGGGCGUAAAGCGCAUGCAGGUGGUUUGUUAAGUCAGAUGUGAAAGCCCGGGGCUCAACCUCGGAAUUGCAUUUGAAACUGGCAAACUAGAGUACUGUAGAGGGGGGUAGAAUUUCAGGUGUAGCGGUGAAAUGCGUAGAGAUCUGAAGGAAUACCGGUGGCGAAGGCGGCCCCCUGGACAGAUACUGACACUCAGAUGCGAAAGCGUGGGGAGCAAACAGGAUUAGAUACCCCUGGUAGGCGUA